UACGAAGGGGGCUAGCGUUGCUCGGAAUCACUGGGCGUAAAGGGCACGUAGGCGGAUUGUUAAGUCAGGGGUGAAAUCCUGGAGCUCAACUCCAGAACUGCCUUUGAUACUGAAGAUCUUGAGUUCGGGAGAGGUGAGUGGAACUGCGAGUGUAGAGGUGAAAUUCGUAGAUAUUCGCAAGAACACCAGUGGCGAAGGCGGCUCACUGGCCCGAUACUGACGCUGAGGCACGAAAGCGUGGGGAGCAAACAGG
Molecule: ribosomal RNA, 253 nt
Filed under: uncultured bacterium
Lineage: Bacteria
Description: partial 16S ribosomal RNA
Rfam family: Bacterial small subunit ribosomal RNA
Source: RNAcentral